GCGGCGGCGGAGCUCUUCGGCGAAGAAUCGGGGCGGCGUGGGCGCGUGCGAGCGGGAGCGAGAAGAGGGAAAGAGAAGAGGAGGGGGAGAGCUUUAUAAGGACGCGCUCGGGCUGCUCGGGGAAGGUCGGAAUCAACGGGGACGGAGAUUGCGGCGGCACAGUGUCUGGCGCGGAUUCGGCGGCCGGCUUUCCUAACGGGGAAGAAGGCUCUGACGCGUGGGUCCCACAUGUCAGUGGCAGCGGGCGCGCGCGUGCGGACUGGUCCGGUUCGGUCGGGCGGUUCGGCCGGUUCGAGGCUUAGCGGGCCGGCCCAGUGGGUCGGUCCGUUCUAUUUUUUUUUCCUUUAGCCUUUUCUUUUUCUGUUUUUCUUAUUUCUUUGAUAACUUUUGAUUUUGAACUCCAAAUUGGUCCAAAUAAAUUCCAGAAAAUUUGUUAAAUCAUGUUCUAUCAUGAUACAACUUUUGGGAGUAGUUUCCCAUCAAAAUAAAAUACACAAAAAUACAUUUACCCUAUAAAUGCUUUUAGGGCUAUAUAACUAUUUAAAUAAAAUACUUUGUCAACUCCAAAUAAUUUUCCAAAAAUUAUGGGAUAGCUUAUUUAUGCAAUAAACCCCCUUUUAUAUAUAAACCCUAUUGGUUUGAAGAUCCAAAGCUCAAAUGGGUGUAAACCCUAGGGUUUAAAUUGAAAGAAAAUCUUUUAAAGCCUUUUGAGAUUAAAAAUUGAAUUCAAAUAUGCAAUUGUGGCAUGAUGCUCAUGGAUGCAAUGCACAUGUAAAAGUUUGAAAUUUUAGGAUGU
This 796-nucleotide long non-coding RNA is filed under the name Brachypodium distachyon (stiff brome). RNAcentral's name for it is "long non-coding RNA (BDIS_LNC003107)". The record is from RNAcentral. Lineage: Eukaryota; Viridiplantae; Streptophyta; Magnoliopsida; Poales; Poaceae.